ACAAGCGGUGGAGUAUGUGGUUUAAUUCGACGCAACGCGCAGUAACCUUACCUGGUCUUGACAUCCCGGGAAUUUCCUUGAAAGAGGGAAGUGCCUCGCAAGAGGAGCCUGGAGACAGGUGCUGCAUGGCUGUCGUCAGCUCGUGUCGUGAGAUGUUGGGUUAAGUCCCGCAACGAGCGCAACCCUUGUCUUUAGUUGCCAUCAUUCAGUUGGGCACUCUAAAGAGACUGCCGGUGUCAAACCGGAGGAAGGUGGGGAUGACGUCAAGUCCUCAUGGCCUUUAUGACCAGGGCUACACACGUACUACAAUGGCCGGUACAAAGGGCAGCGACACAGCGAUGUGAAGCGAAUCCCGAAAAGCCGGUCUCAGUCCGGAUUGGAGUCUGCAACUCGACUCCAUGAAGUUGGAAUCGCUAGUAAUCGCGGAUCAGCACGCCGCGGUGAAUACGUUCCCGGGCCUU
RNAcentral lists this ribosomal RNA (461 nucleotides) under uncultured Desulfocapsa sp. Its description in RNAcentral is "bacterial SSU rRNA". It matches the Rfam family "Bacterial small subunit ribosomal RNA", at positions 925 to 1382 of the family's 1533-position model. Lineage: Bacteria; Pseudomonadati; Thermodesulfobacteriota; Desulfobulbia; Desulfobulbales; Desulfocapsaceae. The record is from RNAcentral.